RNAcentral lists this ribosomal RNA (206 nucleotides) under uncultured bacterium. RNAcentral's name for it is "partial 16S ribosomal RNA". It matches the Rfam family "Bacterial small subunit ribosomal RNA", at positions 568 to 774 of the family's 1533-position model. The record is from RNAcentral.
CACGCAGGUGGCUGAGUCAGUCGAUUGUGAAAGCCCUGGGCUUAACCUGGGAAUUGCAGUCGAUACUACUCAGCUAGAGUAUGGGAGAGGGUAGUGGAAUUCCCGGUGUGGCGGUGAAAUGCGUAGAUAUCGGGAGGAACAUCAGUGGCGAAGGCGGCUACCUGGCCCAAUACUGACACUCAGGUGCGACAGCGUGGGAGCAAACA